ACCAUGGGCCAGACUGUGUAUCAGCCAAUCAUCACAGGUAACAAGGGGUUUGGACUGGCUGCCUUUACCCACCCUCCAACUGCCCCUCUGCAAGCUCAAUACCUAGGAGGCCAAGAACUAGGCCCUGCAUCCUGGGGAAUUAUUAGCCUAGGGCUUCCCAGCUCCUAAAGCCUUUCCCCAGCCCUGCCUCUCUCUAGGUCCCCUGAGUG
Gopherus evgoodei (Goodes thornscrub tortoise) is the source of this 209-nucleotide long non-coding RNA. RefSeq lists it as uncharacterized. NCBI's taxonomy places the organism in Eukaryota, Metazoa, Chordata, Testudines, Testudinidae. The transcript is spliced from 3 exons. The record is from RefSeq and is a predicted model, not a curated record.